UACGAAGGGGGCUAGCGUUGCUCGGAAUUACUGGGCGUAAAGGGAGCGUAGGCGGAUAUUUAAGUCGGGGGUGAAAGCCCAGGGCUCAACCCUGGAAUUGCCUUCGAUACUGGAUAUCUAGAGUAUGGGAGAGGUGUGUGGAACUCCGAGUGUAGAGGUGAAAUUCGUAGAUAUUCGGAAGAACACCAGUGGCGAAGGCGACACACUGGCCCAUUACUGACGCUGAGGCUCGAAAGCGUGGGGAGCAAACAGGG
This 254-nucleotide ribosomal RNA is filed under the name uncultured bacterium. RNAcentral's name for it is "partial 16S ribosomal RNA". It matches the Rfam family "Bacterial small subunit ribosomal RNA", at positions 524 to 777 of the family's 1533-position model. The record is from RNAcentral.